CCUACGGGAGGCUGCAGUCGAGAAUCAUUCACAAUGGGGGAAACCCUGAUGGUGCGACGCCGCGUGGGGGAAUGAAGGUCUUCGAAUUGUAAACCCCUGUCAUGUGGGAGCAAAUUAAAAAGAUCGUACCACACGAGGAAGAGACGGCUAACUCUGUGCCAGCAGCCGCGGUAAUACAGAGGUCUCAAGCGUUGUUCGGAAUCACUGGGCGUAAAGCGUGCGUAGGCUGUUUCGUAAGUCGUGUGUGAAAGGCGCGGGCUCAACCCGCGGACGGCACAUGAUACUGCGAGACUAGAGUAAUGGAGGGGGAACCGGAAUUCUCGGUGUAGCAGUGAAAUGCGUAGAUAUCGAGAGGAACACUCGUGGCGAAGGCGGGUUCCUGGACAUUAACUGACGCUGAGGCACGAAGGCCAGGGGAGCGAAAGGGAUUAGAUACCCGUGUAGUC
RNAcentral lists this ribosomal RNA (446 nucleotides) under uncultured bacterium. RNAcentral's name for it is "partial 16S ribosomal RNA". It matches the Rfam family "Bacterial small subunit ribosomal RNA", at positions 338 to 795 of the family's 1533-position model. The record is from RNAcentral.